GACGAACGCUGGCGGCGUGCCUAAUACAUGCAAGUUGAGCGAUGAAGAUUGGUGCUUGCCCCAAUUUGAAGAGCAGCGAACGGGUGAGUAACGCGUGGGGAAUCUGCCUUUGAGCGGGGGACAACAUUUGGAAACGAAUGCUAAUACCGCAUAACAACUUUAAACAUAAGUUUUAAGUUUGAAAGAUGCAAUUGCAUCACUCAAAGAUGAUCCCGCGUUGUAUUAGCUAGUUGGUGAGGUAAAGGCUCACCAAGGCGAUGAUACAUAGCCGACCUGAGAGGGUGAUCGGCCACAUUGGGACUGAGACACGGCCCAAACUCCUACGGGAGGCAGCAGUAGGGAAUCUUCGGCAAUGGACGAAAGUCUGACCGAGAAACGCCGCGUGAGUGAAGAAGGGUUUCGGAUCGUAAAACUCUGUUGGUAGAGAAGAACGUUGGUGAGAGUGGAAAGCUCAUCAAGUGACGGUAACUACCCAGAAAGGGACGGCUAACUACGUG
This 497-nucleotide ribosomal RNA is filed under the name uncultured bacterium. Its description in RNAcentral is "partial 16S ribosomal RNA". It matches the Rfam family "Bacterial small subunit ribosomal RNA", at positions 28 to 507 of the family's 1533-position model. The record is from RNAcentral.